RNAcentral lists this unclassified non-coding RNA (210 nucleotides) under Hevea brasiliensis (rubber tree). Lineage: Eukaryota; Viridiplantae; Streptophyta; Magnoliopsida; Malpighiales; Euphorbiaceae. The record is from RNAcentral.
GAAUAUGUGAGCUUCCUGGUGCUAAUGAAGCCGCAUUCAACCAUUUCAUAUUACAAUUACAUCAGAAUGGACUUCUGAAAGGGGAUGAUAUGACUGAUCGGUUUUUCCGUCUACUCACUGAAAUUUCUGUGGCACAUUGCUUAUCAUCUGAAGUAAUUAACUCGGGUGCAUUACAAUCACCACAACAAAUACAGAAUCUUUCCUUCCUUG